AUUGAACGCUGGCGGCAUGCCUUACACAUGCAAGUCGAACGGUAACGGGCCUUCGGGUGCCGACGAGUGGCGAACGGGUGAGUAAUACAUCGGAACGUGCCCGAUCGUGGGGGAUAACGAGGCGAAAGCUUUGCUAAUACCGCAUACGAUCUACGGAUGAAAGCAGGGGACCGCAAGGCCUUGCGCGGACGGAGCGGCCGAUGGCAGAUUAGGUAGUUGGUGGGAUAAAAGCUUACCAAGCCGACGAUCUGUAGCUGGUCUGAGAGGAUGAUCAGCCACACUGGGACUGAGACACGGCCCAGACUCCUACGGGAGGCAGCAGUGGGGAAUUUUGGACAAUGGGCGCGAGCCUGAUCCAGCCAUGCCGCGUGCAGGAUGAAGGCCUUCGGGUUGUAAACUGCUUUUGUACGGAACGAAAAGCCUUCUUUUAAUACAGGAGGGUCAUGACGGUACCGUAAGAAUAAGCACCGGCUAACUACGUG
This 482-nucleotide ribosomal RNA is filed under the name uncultured bacterium. RNAcentral's name for it is "partial 16S ribosomal RNA". It matches the Rfam family "Bacterial small subunit ribosomal RNA", at positions 30 to 507 of the family's 1533-position model. The record is from RNAcentral.